UCGAACGCCCUGGCUUGCCAGGGAGUGGCGCACGGGUGAGUAGCGCGUGGGAACCUGCCCAGUCGUGGGGGAUAACCGAGGGAAACUUCGGCUAAUACCGCAUACGCCGGUGGCGACACCGGGAAAGAUUUAUCGCGAUUGGAGGGGCCCGCGUCGGAUUAGCUAGUUGGUGGGGUAACGGCCUACCAAGGCAGUGAUCCGUAGCUGGUCUGAGAGGAUGAUCAGCCACACUGGGACUGAGACACGGCCCAGACUCCUACGGGAGGCAGCAGUGGGGAAUAUUGGACAAUGGGCGCAAGCCUGAUCCAGCAAUGCCGCGUGAGUGAGGAAGGCCUUAGGGUUGUAAAGCUCUUUCACCCACGACGAUGAUGACGGUAGUGGGAGAAGAAGCCCCGGCUAACUUCGUGCCAGCAGCCGCGGUAAUACGAAGGGGGCGAGCGUUGUUCGGAUUUACUGGGCGUAAAGGGCGCGCAGGCGGCGUAUCAAGUCAGGCGUGAAAGCCCCGGGCUUAACCUGGGAAUUGCGUCUGGGACUGGUAUGCUAGAGUUCGGGAGAGGAGAGUGGAAUUCCCAGUGUAGAGGUGAAAUUCGUAGAUAUUGGGAAGAACACCGGUGGCGAAGGCGGCUCUCUGGACCGAGACUGACGCUGAGGCGCGAAAGCGUGGGGAGCAAACAGGAUUAGAUACCCUGGUAGUCCACGCUGUAAACGAUGUGUGCUAGACGUUGGGGAGCCUAGCUCUUCGGUGUCGCAGCUAACGCUUUAAGCACACCGCCUGGGGAGUACGGCCGCAA
Molecule: ribosomal RNA, 791 nt
Filed under: uncultured bacterium
Lineage: Bacteria
Description: bacterial SSU rRNA
Rfam family: Bacterial small subunit ribosomal RNA
Source: RNAcentral